GCUGGGCACGGUGGCCCACACCUGUCAUCCCAGAGACUUGGGAGGUUGAGGCAGGAGGAUUGUGAGUUCAGAGCCAGCCUCAGCAACUUAGUGAGGCCCUAAGCAACUCAGCAAGACCCUGUCUCUA
This 127-nucleotide small RNA is filed under the name Marmota monax (woodchuck). Lineage: Eukaryota; Metazoa; Chordata; Mammalia; Rodentia; Sciuridae. The record is from RNAcentral.